Molecule: ribosomal RNA, 481 nt
Filed under: uncultured bacterium
Lineage: Bacteria
Description: bacterial SSU rRNA
Rfam family: Bacterial small subunit ribosomal RNA
Source: RNAcentral
AACGGUCUUUCUAUGGAAGCUUGCUUCCGCUGAGAAGAUAGUGGCGAACGGGUGAGGUAACACGUGGGUAACCUGCCCAUAAGAGGGGGGAUAACAUCCGGAAACGGGUGCUAAUACCGCAUAGUUUCUUGAUCGCAUGAUCGGGAAAGGAAAGACGGCCUUUGUGCUGUCGCUUAUGGAUGGACCCGCGGCGUAUUAGUUAGUUGGUGAGGUAACGGCUCACCAAGACGAUGAUACGUAGCCGACCUGAGAGGGUGAUCGGCCACAUUGGGACUGAGACACGGCCCAAACUCCUACGGGAGGCAGCAGUAGGGAAUCUUCCGCAAUGGACGAAAGUCUGACGGAGCAACGCCGCGUGAGUGAAGAAAGGUUUUCGGAUCGUAAAACUCUGUUGUCAGAGAAGAACAAGUUGGAGAGUAACUGCUCCAGCCUUGACGGUAUCUGACCAGAAAGCCACGGCUAACUACGUGCCAGCCGCCGC